GACGAACGCUGGCGGCGUGCUUAACACAUGCAAGUCGAACGGAAAGGCCCUGCUUUUGUGGGGUGCUCGAGUGGCGAACGGGUGAGUAACACGUGAGUAACCUGCCCUUGACUUUGGGAUAACUUCAGGAAACUGGGGCUAAUACCGGAUAGGAGCUCCUGCUGCAUGGUGGGGGUUGGAAAGUUUCGGCGGUUGGGGAUGGACUCGCGGCUUAUCAGCUUGUUGGUGGGGUAGUGGCUUACCAAGGCUUUGACGGGUAGCCGGCCUGAGAGGGUGACCGGCCACAUUGGGACUGAGAUACGGCCCAGACUCCUACGGGAGGCAGCAGUGGGGAAUAUUGCACAAUGGGCGGAAGCCUGAUGCAGCAACGCCGCGUGCGGGAUGACGGCCUUCGGGUUGUAAACCGCUUUCGCCUGUGACGAAGCGUGAGUGACGGUAAUGGGUAAAGAAGCACCGGCUAACUACGUGCCAGCAGCCGCGGUGAUACGUAGGGUGUGAGCGUUGUCCGGAUUUAUUGGGCGUAAAGGGCUCGUAGGUGGUUGAUCGCGUCGGAAGUGUAAUCUUGGGGCUUAACCCUGAGCGUGCUUUCGAUACGGGUUGACUUGAGGAAGGUAGGGGAGAAUGGAAUUCCAGGUGGAGCGGUGGAAUGCGCAGAUAUCAGGAGGAACACCAGUGGCGAAGGCGGUUCUCUGGGCCUUUCCUGACGCUGAGGAGCGAAAGCGUGGGGAGCGAACAGGCUUAGAUACCCUGGUAGUCCACGCUGUAAACGGUGGGUACUAGGUGUGGGGUCCAUUCCACGGGUUCCGUGCCGUAGCUAACGCUUUAAGUACCCCGCCUGGGGAGUACGGCCGCAAGGCUAAAACUCAAAGGAAUUGACGGGGCCCCGCACAAGCGGCGGAGCAUGCGGAUUAAUUCGAUGCAACGCGUAGAACCUUACCUGGGUUUGACAUGGAUCGGGAGUGCUCAGAGAUGGGUGUGCCUCUUUUGGGGUCGGUUCACAGGUGGUGCAUGGCUGUCGUCAGCUCGUGUCGUGAGAUGUUGGGUUAAGUCCCGCAACGAGCGCAACCCUUGUUCACUGUUGCCAGCACGUUAUGGUGGGGACUCAGUGGAGACCGCCGGGGUCAACUCGGAGGAAGGUGGGGAUGACGUCAAGUCAUCAUGCCCCUUAUGUCCAGGGCUUCACGCAUGCUACAAUGGCUGGUACAGAGAGUGGCGAGCCUGUGAGGGUGAGCGAAUCUCGGAAAGCCGGUCUCAGUUCGGAUUGGGGUCUGCAACUCGACCUCAUGAAGUCGGAGUCGCUAGUAAUCGCAGAUCAGCAACGCUGCGGUGAAUACGUUCCCGGG
RNAcentral lists this ribosomal RNA (1343 nucleotides) under uncultured bacterium. RNAcentral's name for it is "16S ribosomal RNA". It matches the Rfam family "Bacterial small subunit ribosomal RNA", at positions 28 to 1378 of the family's 1533-position model. The record is from RNAcentral.